GGGAAUGGAAAGACCGGUACAAGCGGGGGAGGAGUACAAUAGGCAAAUCCGUUGUAUGAUCCGAAGACGUGAUGUGGAGCGAAAUAAAGUAGUGAAGCGUGUGAGCCAUGUGCCGAGAAAAGCUGCUAUUGUGUAAUGCGUGCCCGUACCGUAAACCGACACAGGUGGAUGAGGAGAGAAUCCUAAGGCCGACGGUAGAAGCAUUGUUAAGGAAUUCGGCAAAAUGACCCCGUAACUUCGGGAGAAGGGGUGCCUGCGAGAGCAGGCCGCAGAGAAUAGGCUCAAGCAACUGUUUAGCAAAAACACAGGUCUAUGCGAAACCGAAAGGUGAAGUAUACGGGCUGACGCCUGCCCGGUGCUGGAAGGUUAAGAGGAGAGGUUAGCGAAAGCGAAGCUUUGAAUUUAAGCCCCAGUAAACGGCGGCCGUAACUAUAACGGUCCUAAGGUAGCGAAAUACCCUGUCGGGUAAGUUCCGACCCGCACGAAAGGCGUAAUGAUUUGAGCACUGUCUCGACAAUGCAUCCGGUGAAAUUGAAGUACCAGUGAAGAUGCUGGUUACCCGCGCCAGGACGGAAAGACCCCAUGGAGCUUUACUCCAGUUUGAUACUGGGAUUCGGUACUGCAUGUACAGGAUAGGUGGGAGACGAAGAAGGAUGGACGCCAGUCUGUCCGGAGUCGCUGUUGGGAUACCACCCCUGUAGUACUGGGUUUCUAACCAGUUACCAUGAUCUGGUAAUGGGACAAUGUCAGGCGGGGAGUUUGACUGGGGCGGUCGCCUCCGAAAGGGUAUCGGAGGCGCUCAAAGGUUCCCUCAGAAUGGUUGGAAACCAUUUGAAGAGUGCAAAGGCAGAAGGGAGCUUGACUGCGACACCGACGGGUGGAGCAGGUACGAAAGUAGGACUUAGUGAUCCGGUGGUAUAAAGUGGGAUUGCCAUCGCUCAACGGAUAAAAGCUACCCUGGGAUAACAGGCUUAUCACUCCCAAGAGUUCACAUCGACGGAGUGGUUUGGCACCUCGAUGUCGGCUCAUCGCAUCCUGGGGCUGUAGCAGGUCCCAAGGGUUGGGCUGUUCGCCCAUUAAAGCGGUACGCGAGCUGGGUUCAGAACGUCGUGAGACAGUUCGGUCCCUAUCCGGCGCGGGCGGAGGAUAUUUGAGAGGAGCUGUCCUUAGUACGAGAGGACCGGGAUGGACGGACCACUGGUGUAUCUGUUGUCGACCAACGGCAUGGCAGAGUAGCCAAGUCUGGAAGGGAUAAACGCUGAAGGCAUCUAAGCGUGAAGCCCCCCUCAAGAUGAGAUAUCCCUCCUUCGGGAGUAAGACCCCUUGAAGACUACAAGGUAGAUAGGGCAGAGGUGGAAGCAAGGCAACAUGUGGAGCUGACUGUUACUAAUAGGUCGAGGGCUUAAUU
RNAcentral lists this ribosomal RNA (1408 nucleotides) under metagenome. RNAcentral's name for it is "bacterial LSU rRNA". It matches the Rfam family "Bacterial large subunit ribosomal RNA", at positions 1494 to 2925 of the family's 2925-position model. The record is from RNAcentral.